Molecule: small nucleolar RNA, 262 nt
Filed under: Rhinocladiella mackenziei CBS 650.93
Lineage: Eukaryota; Fungi; Ascomycota; Eurotiomycetes; Chaetothyriales; Herpotrichiellaceae
Description: Fungal small nucleolar RNA U3
Rfam family: Fungal small nucleolar RNA U3
About the family: Small nucleolar RNAs (snoRNAs) are involved in the processing and modification of rRNA in the nucleolus. There are two main classes of snoRNAs: the box C/D class, and the box H/ACA class. U3 snoRNA is a member of the box C/D class.
Source: Rfam by way of RNAcentral
GCAGACUUCAUAGAAUCAUUUCUAUAGUAAACGUCCUCUUCUGAGCUCUUCACACGAGCCACAGAAUCCUCAACCUGGCUGACGACACAAAGUCCUCGGUACCCUAGAGUGAAGCCUUUUAUGUUUACUCUCGCCCGUUUUUCUCUAUGGUCCUCCUGGAUCUUGAGAAGACAGAGAGUGGUGAUGAUCUUUGACCUGCGUCUGGAGGACUGGCUUCGUGCCGCUUUGCGUGGGAGGUAUCGAGGGACUGAUUCUGACAGGC